AGAGAGAGACAUGCGCGCAUAUCAAUAAGCGGAGGAAAAGAAACUAACAAGGAUUCCCCUAGUAACGGCGAGUGAAGCGGGAAGAGCUCAAAUUUGAAAUCUUCAAGGGUUCUACCUUUACGAAUUGUAGUUUAAAGAAGUGUUUUCUGUUGAGGUUUUGGUAAAAGUUCUUUGGAAUAGGACAUCAUAGAGGGUGAGAAUCCCGUAUUUGACCUUUACUUUCAACUUCGUGAUACACUUUCAAAGAGUCGGAUUGUUUGGGAAUGCAGUCCAAAAUGGGUGGUAAAUUUCAUCUAAAGCUAAAUAUUGGCGAGAGACCGAUAGCGAACAAGUACCGUGAGGGAAAGAUGAAAAGAACUUUGAAAAGAGAGUUAAACAGUACGUGAAAUUGUCAAAAGGGAAGCGUUUGACACCAGUGUUGUUUUUUCUGAAAAUCAAUUAAAGAACUGUUUAUGCUAAGCUGUUUAGACUUUAUCAGCUAAUCUGUUUAGUUUUGAGCUUUUCUUUAAUGCACUUUUCAGUUAACAAGUCAACAUCAAUUUCUUUUGCUGUAAAAAAGCUUGAGGAAGGUGGCUUGAGAUUCGUCUUAAGUGUUUAUAGCCUCUUGCCUAUGCAGUCGGAGAGAUUGAGGUCUGCAGCGUAGAUCCUUCGGGGCUAAAUGCAUUUGUGCUAAGUUAUAGCAUUUUAUAGACAACUUGUUGACUAUGAUUUGUCUUGUAGCUUACUCGCUUAUGUUAUUUUACCUACGCUUAGGAUGUUGAGCGCAUGUCUCUCUCU
RNAcentral lists this ribosomal RNA (777 nucleotides) under uncultured Neocallimastigales. RNAcentral describes it as "partial large subunit ribosomal RNA". It matches the Rfam family "Eukaryotic large subunit ribosomal RNA", at positions 23 to 642 of the family's 3401-position model. The record is from RNAcentral. Lineage: Eukaryota; Fungi; Neocallimastigomycota; Neocallimastigomycetes; Neocallimastigales.